GACGAACGCUGGCGGCGUGCUUAACACAUGCAAGUCGAACCGAAAGGCCCUGCUUUUGUGGGGUGCUCGAGUGGCGAACGGGUGAGUAACACGUGAGUAACCUGCCCUUGACUUUGGGAUAACUUCAGGAAACUGGGGCUAAUACCGGAUAGGAGCUCCUGCUGCAUGGUGGGGGUUGGAAAGUUUCGGCGGUUGGGGAUGGACUCGCGGCUUAUCAGCUUGUUGGUGGGGUAGUGGCUUACCAAGGCCUUGACGGGUAGCCGGCCUGAGAGGGUGACCGGCCACAUUGGGACUGAGAUACGGCCCAGACUCCUACGGGAGGCAGCAGUGGGGAAUAUUGCACAAUGGGCGGAAGCCUGAUGCAGCAACGCCGCGUGCGGGAUGACGGCCUUCGGGUUGUAAACCGCUUUCGCCUGUGACGAAGCGUGAGUGACGGUAAUGGGUAAAGAAGCACCGGCUAACUACGUG
This 468-nucleotide ribosomal RNA is filed under the name uncultured bacterium. RNAcentral describes it as "partial 16S ribosomal RNA". It matches the Rfam family "Bacterial small subunit ribosomal RNA", at positions 28 to 507 of the family's 1533-position model. The record is from RNAcentral.